This is a long non-coding RNA of Callithrix jacchus (white-tufted-ear marmoset), 1550 nucleotides long. The record is from Ensembl. NCBI's taxonomy places the organism in Eukaryota, Metazoa, Chordata, Mammalia, Primates, Cebidae.
GCAGUUCUGACAUCUAUGAGUGGGCGGCCAGCAAAGGCAGAGACCUCCAGCACAGAGGAGUCACAGGAACCCAGAACACGCUGUACCCCAAUGCCAGCCCCAAGGGGGCCACCUCAGGGUUUCAUGGGCAGAGCCAUCCUGCAGCUUCAAGAUCUACAAGAUGGAGAUGUCUCUAGUACCUAACCCCACUGCUUUGAGCCUGCCCACUCAGAUUUGGGAGCUGGUGAGGGUCAUGACUUGGAGCACACUGGCCACCAGAAGACGCUCAGAGGGAGAGGAGCUGAAGACCUUCUGGCCUGGGCUGGGCAGCAGUUCAGUUGCUACAGAAACAGACUGAGUGCGGAGAGGUGGCCGUCCUGUGCGGGAUGCUUUCUAAGGAGCCCCCAGAAAUCAACAUAGAGCUUCUUCUAUCUGAUCUCUCACAGCUGUAAACCUUUCAUGAGUCAAGCUUUGUGUAAAAAGGACAAAUUAAAAGGCAAGAAAAAAAUUGCAAUACCAGGACUAUGGAGGGGGAAGACAUCUAAUAACAGAUUAUUUCAGAAAACCCCACAUUGUGCUCGAAUCUCUGUCUAUUGUGUCUCUGUCCGACAUACUCAUCUUUGAGGACAAUGUUCAAAAGUUGCUCCUGUUCUCAGUGUGGUGUGAAACUAGAAAACUACAUUUCAGGGAAAACAAUAUAAUUAUUUUGAAGGUAAAUAGGUUUUCAAGGUUUAUUCUUCAAUUAUGAAAAGGUUUUCUAAAGUAAAACUUACUAUUCCUCUCCACGAACACAAUCCAGACCCUCCUCAGUGGGGUUAUAAAAUACCAUAUUCACUUUCCUGAACCUUUUGCUGAAUCUCAUAUAAAGUUUUGUCACAGAACCUCAGAUUUUUUCAUAAGGUCUUGUGUACCAUGCCGUGCCUGGGACUUGCUUUCUUUACUUUGUUUCUUUUUUUUUUUUUAAGAAGUAGCCAGCAAAUAUCUUUUUUGCUUUAGAGAUAUAAACCGCUUUGUAUUUUCUGAUUACUUGCAAAAUGUUGAAAAUGCUUUGCUCACUCUUCUUUUCUCAAUUCCUCCCUCUCAGGACCUAGAAAGGCACCCGCCCCACCCAAGCCCAGUGGACAGAUGCCCCAGGCUGCACAUUCUGUCAGUGCUGUUCUCCAAGAGGCCCAGACACGUGCUGAAACAUGGAAGGUGAGGCCAGCAAGCGGCUGACACACAUUCCACCCAGCUGACCCCAUAAGCCCAUGUCCUAAACCAUUCGCAUUGUUCCAGUAACUGUUCUGUUAAAAAGAGAAAAUAGGCUGGUGUGGUGGCUCACACCUGUAAUCCCAGCAGUUUCGAGGCCAAAGCAUAAGAAUUGCUUGAGCUCCAGACUUCCAGACAAGUCUGGGUGACAUAGUGAGAGCUCAUAUCUACCAGAAGUAAAAAAAUUAGCUCAGCCUGGUGGGGUGCACCUGUGCUCCUAGGUCCUCGAAAGUCUGAGGUGUUUGAAUUGCUUGUGCCCAUGAUUUCAAGGCUUCAGUGAACUGUGAUCGUGCCACUGCAUUCCAGCCUGGGUGAUAGAUAAA